GGCAUUACACCGGAGGAGCGGGCUACAUUGAUGUUGUAGAAAAGAAGAGUUUAUCUUUAAUGCCU
RNAcentral lists this transfer RNA (65 nucleotides) under Enoplochiton echinatus. Its description in RNAcentral is "tRNA-Ile". The record is from RNAcentral. Lineage: Eukaryota; Metazoa; Mollusca; Polyplacophora; Chitonida; Chitonidae.